Molecule: small nucleolar RNA, 107 nt
Organism: Cornus florida
Lineage: Eukaryota; Viridiplantae; Streptophyta; Magnoliopsida; Cornales; Cornaceae
Source: RefSeq, a predicted model, not a curated record
AUGUCAUGGUGUGGACAUUUCCUAAACAAAUCAUUUAAUCGUUCCCAUACCUCAUGAAACAUUUCCCCAUCCCUUAGUGAGAAUUCAUGAAUUUCAGUUCUCAUUGC